CUAGCACUUUCACAGAUCCUCCCCAAGGCAGUGGGGCCAGGAUUUGGUAGCUGGUGCUGAGAGAAGACCUUUGAUGGCAUCUUUGCCCUGCGACUAUACCAGCGGCAACUGUCACUCAAUGGGACAGAG
This is a small nucleolar RNA of Otolemur garnettii (small-eared galago), 129 nucleotides long. Ensembl annotates it as small nucleolar RNA, H/ACA box 30. Its record names the gene SNORA30. Lineage: Eukaryota; Metazoa; Chordata; Mammalia; Primates; Galagidae. The record is from Ensembl.